ACUCCUACGGGAGGCAGCAGUGGGGAAUAUUGCACAAUGGGCGCAAGCCUGAUGCAGCCAUGCCGCGUGUGUGAAGAAGGCCUUCGGGUUGUAAAGCACUUUCAGUCGUGAGGAAGGUGGUGUAGUUAAUAGCUGCAUUAUUUGACGUUAGCGACAGAAGAAGCACCGGCUAACUCCGUGCCAGCAGCCGCGGUAAUACGGAGGGUGCGAGCGUUAAUCGGAAUUACUGGGCGUAAAGCGCAUGCAGGUGGUUUGUUAAGUCAGAUGUGAAAGCCCGGGGCUCAACCUCGGAAUAGCAUUUGAAACUGGCAGACUAGAGUACUGUAGAGGGGGGUAGAAUUUCAGGUGUAGCGGUGAAAUGCGUAGAGAUCGUGAAGGAAUACCAGUGGCGAAGGCGGCCCCCUGGACAAAGACUGACGCUCAGAUGCGAAAGCGU
Molecule: ribosomal RNA, 436 nt
Filed under: uncultured bacterium
Lineage: Bacteria
Description: bacterial SSU rRNA
Rfam family: Bacterial small subunit ribosomal RNA
Source: RNAcentral